Molecule: ribosomal RNA, 305 nt
Filed under: uncultured bacterium
Lineage: Bacteria
Description: bacterial SSU rRNA
Rfam family: Bacterial small subunit ribosomal RNA
Source: RNAcentral
GCCUACGGGGGGCAGCAGUAGGGAAUUUUCGUCAAUGGACGCAAGCCUGAACGAGCAAUGCCGCGUGAACGAGGAAGGUCUUCGGAUCGUAAAGUUCUGUUGAAGGGGAAAAAGAGCGGAGAGAGGAAAUGGUCUCCGAUUGAUAUUACCCUUCGAGGAAGUCACGGCUAACUACGUGCCAGCAGCCGCGGUAAUACGUAGGUGGCGAGCGUUAUCCGGAAUGAUUGGGCGUAAAGGGUGCGUAGGCGGCCUGCUAAGUCUGGAGUGAAAGGUACCGGCUCAACCGGUACAGGCUCUGGAAACUG